This 492-nucleotide ribosomal RNA is filed under the name uncultured bacterium. RNAcentral's name for it is "partial 16S ribosomal RNA". It matches the Rfam family "Bacterial small subunit ribosomal RNA", at positions 29 to 507 of the family's 1533-position model. The record is from RNAcentral.
AGUGAACGCUGGCGGUAGGCCUAACACAUGCAAGUCGAACGGCAGCACAGUAAGAGCUUGCUCUUACGGGUGGCGAGUGGCGGACGGGUGAGGAAUACAUCGGAAUCUACUUUUUCGUGGGGGAUAACGUAGGGAAACUUCCGCUAAUACCGCAUACGACCUACGGGUGAAAGCAGUGGAUCUUCGGACCUUGCGCGUUUGAAUGAGCCGAUGUCGGAUUAGCUAGUUGGCGGGGUAAAGGCCCACCAAGGCGACGAUCCGUAGCUGGUCUGAGAGGAUGAUCAGCCACACUGGAACUGAGACACGGUCCAGACUCCUACGGGAGGCAGCAGUGGGGAAUAUUGGACAAUGGGCGCAAGCCUGAUCCAGCCAUACCGCGUGGGUGAAGAAGGCCUUCGGGUUGUAAAGCCCUUUUGUUGGGAAAGAAAAGCAGCAGGUUAAUACCCCGCUGUUCUGACGGUACCCAAAGAAUAAGCACCGGCUAACUUCGUG